Molecule: ribosomal RNA, 336 nt
Filed under: uncultured bacterium
Lineage: Bacteria
Description: partial 16S ribosomal RNA
Rfam family: Bacterial small subunit ribosomal RNA
Source: RNAcentral
UAGGGAAUCUUCCACAAUGGACGCAAGUCUGAUGGAGCAACGCCGCGUGAGUGAAGAAGGCUUUCGGGUCGUAAAACUCUGUUAUUGAAGAAGAACGUGCGUGACAGUAACUGGUCAUGCAGUGACGGUAUUCAAUCAGAAAGUCACGGCUAACUACGUGCCAGCAGCCGCGGUAAUACGUAGGUGGCAAGCGUUGUCCGGAUUUAUUGGGCGUAAAGCGAGUGCAGGCGGUCUUUUAAGUCUGAUGUGAAAGCCUUCGGCUUAACCGAAGAAGGGCAUCGGAAACUGGGAGACUUGAGUGCAGAAGAGGAGANUGGAACGUCCAUGUGUAGCGGU